RNAcentral lists this transfer-messenger RNA (344 nucleotides) under bovine gut metagenome. It matches the Rfam family "transfer-messenger RNA". Rfam says of the family: Bacterial tmRNA, also known as 10Sa RNA or SsrA, is named for its dual tRNA and mRNA-like properties. Its role is to liberate the mRNA from a stalled ribosome. The record is from RNAcentral.
GGGCUUGUACUGGUUUCGACGGGGGUUUUGAAGUCGAGGAAGCCAUCCGCGGGCCGGACCGCGUAAGAACCGGAACUUUAUAAAUUUAACUGACAAACCUCAGUUUGCAGUAGCGGCUUAAUGCCGCUCGUCGGCCCGGUUGCACCCGCGCUCCCGGUUCCCGGCGUCGAGAUCGCGGGAAACGACACUGGCUAAGCUUUGCGCCAGUGGGCGUAUGAUGAAGCUACUGAAGCUGUGAGGCUGCUGUUUGCCGCAUGGCGGAGGGAAUGAAAAGAAGCAGCUGUGAUGGGAGAUGCCUUGAUGGAGGGGCUCUCGGACGCGGGUUCGCUUCCCGCCAGGUCCAU